UACGGGGGGGGUAAGCGUUGUUCGGAAUUACUGGGCGUAAAGGGCUCGUAGGCGGCCAACUAAGUCAGACGUGAAAUCCCUCAGCUUAACUGGGGAACUGCGCCUGAUACUGGAUGGCUUGGAUUCGGGAGAGGAAUGCGGAAUUCCAGGUGUAGCGGUGAAAUGCGUAGAUAUCUGGAGGAACACCGGUGGCGAAGGCGGCAUCCUGGACCAAUACUGACGCUGAGGAGCGAAAGCCAGGGGAGCAAACGGG
This 253-nucleotide ribosomal RNA is filed under the name uncultured bacterium. Its description in RNAcentral is "partial 16S ribosomal RNA". It matches the Rfam family "Bacterial small subunit ribosomal RNA", at positions 524 to 776 of the family's 1533-position model. The record is from RNAcentral.